UGGGGAAUAUUGCACAAUGGGCGAAAGCCUGAUGCAGCAACGCCGCGUGCGGGAUGACGGCCUUCGGGUUGUAAACCGCUUUCAGCAGGGACGAAGGUUUUCUGACGGUACCUGCAGAAGAAGCACCGGCUAACUACGUGCCAGCAGCCGCGGUGAUACGUAGGGUGCGAGCGUUGUCCGGAAUUAUUGGGCGUAAAGAGCUUGUAGGCGGUCCGUUGCGUCGGAAGUGAAAACUCAGGGCUUAACCCUGAGCCUGCUUUCGAUACGGGCGGACUUGAGGGAUGUAGGGGAGAACGGAAUUCCUGGUGGAGCGGUGGAAUGCGCAGAUAUCAGGAGGAACACCAGUGGCGAAGGCGGUUCUCUGGACAUUUCCUGACGCUGAGAAGCGAAAGCNUGGGGAGCAAACAGGCUUAGAUACCCUGGUAGUCCACGCCGUAAACGGUGGCACUAGGUGUGGGACCCAUUCCACGGGUUCCGUGCCGUAGCUAACGCAUUAAGUG
Molecule: ribosomal RNA, 500 nt
Filed under: uncultured bacterium
Lineage: Bacteria
Description: partial 16S ribosomal RNA
Rfam family: Bacterial small subunit ribosomal RNA
Source: RNAcentral